UCUUUAUUAAAAGUAAAAAUGGGAUAUGUUUUAUUUUGAUAAUCUCAAAACAUUAUAGUUCUAUCGAAAUAACUUAUAACCAAGUUCACAAACACCAAUGUGUUUGAUAUUAAUUUUAAGACAUGUAUAAAUGUUCCAGACCAUAUCAGUAUUUUGACCGCAUGUUAAAGGUCCGGAACAUAUAAGUAUACUCUUACAGUCUGACCAUAUGCAUACAGUCAGACCAUUUGAGUAUACUUGUACUGUCUAGUACCAGCUCAAAGAAACAUGUGUUUUUAUUUCAACUGCAAUUAAACUUUUUGUAUUAAUCUAUUAAAGAUUUCAGUUAUAUUGAUCUGUAAUGUACAUUUGUUUCUAAUAA
Molecule: long non-coding RNA, 361 nt
Filed under: Mytilus galloprovincialis (Mediterranean mussel)
Lineage: Eukaryota; Metazoa; Mollusca; Bivalvia; Mytilida; Mytilidae
Source: RNAcentral